GUACAGAGUCAAUGUGGAGGCUAUAUACAGGGUAUUACGGUACAGAGUCAAUGUGGAGGCUAUAUACAGGGUAUUACGGUACAGAGUCAAUGUGGAGGCUAUAUACAGGGUAUUACGGUACAGAGUCAAUGUGGAGGCUAUAUACAGGGUAUUACGGUACAGAGUCAAUGUGGAUGCUAUAUACAGGGUAUUACGGUACAGAGUCAAUGUGGAGGUUAUAUACAGGGUAUUAAGGUACAGAGUCAAUGUGGAGGCUAUAUACAGGGUGUUACGGUACAGAGUCAAUGUGGAGGCUAUAUACAGGGUAUUACGGUACUGAGUCAAUGUGGAGGCUAUAUACAGGGUAUUACGGUACAGAGUCAAUGUGGAGGCUAUAUACAGGGUAUUACGGUACAGAGUCAAUGUGGAGGCUAUAUACAGGGUAUUACGGUACAGAGUCAAUGUGGAGGCUAUAUACUGGGGGUACCGGUACAGAGUCAAGGUGGAGGCUAUAUACAGGGGGUACAGAGUCAAUGUGGAGGCUAUAUACAGGGUGUACCUGUACAGAGUCAAUGUGGAGGCUAUAUACUGGGGGUACCGGUACAGAGUCAAGGUGGAGGCUAUAUACAGGGGGUACAGAGUCAAUGUGGAGGCUAUAUACAGGGGGUACCUGUACAGAGUCAAUGUGGAGGCUAUAUACAGGGGGUACCUGUACAGAGUCAAUAUGGAGGCUAUAUACAGGGGGUACCAGUACAGAGUCAAUGUGGAGGCUAUAUACAGGGUGUUUCGGUACAGAGUCAAUGUGGAGGCUAUAUACAGGGGGUGCCGGUACAGAGUCAAUGUGGAGGCUAUAUACAGGGGGUACCGGUACAGAGUCAAGGUGGAGGCUAUAUACAGGGGGUACCGGUACAGAGUCAAGGUGGAGGCUAUAUACAGGGGGUACCGGUACAGAGUAAAUGUGGAGGCUAUAUACAGGGG
Oncorhynchus tshawytscha (Chinook salmon) is the source of this 957-nucleotide long non-coding RNA. The record is from Ensembl. NCBI's taxonomy places the organism in Eukaryota, Metazoa, Chordata, Actinopteri, Salmoniformes, Salmonidae.